AACGCGAAGAACCUUACCCAGACUUGACAUACAGUGGAAGUUAUCAGAAAUGCUAACGCCCUUCGGGCCGCUGAACAGGUGCUGCAUGGCUGUCGUCAGCUCGUGCCGUGAGGUGUUGGGUUAAGUCCCGCAACGAGCGCAACCCUUAUCGUUAUUUGCCAACAGGUAGUGCUGGGAACUCUAACGAGACUGCCUGGGUUAACCAGGAGGAAGGUGAGGAUGACGUCAAGUCCGCAUGGCCCUUAUGUCUGGGGCUACACACGUGCUACAAUGGUCGGUACAGAAGGCAGCGAAGCCGCGAGGUGAAGCAAAUCCCUAAAACCGGCCCCAGUUCAGAUUGUAGUCUGCAACUCGACUACAUGAAGAUGGAAUUGCUAGUAAUGGCAGGUCAGCAACACUGCCGUGAAUACGUUCCCGGGCCUUGUACACACCGUAGUAC
RNAcentral lists this ribosomal RNA (439 nucleotides) under uncultured bacterium. Its description in RNAcentral is "bacterial SSU rRNA". It matches the Rfam family "Bacterial small subunit ribosomal RNA", at positions 958 to 1398 of the family's 1533-position model. The record is from RNAcentral.